This 86-nucleotide non-coding RNA is filed under the name Metapseudomonas otitidis. RNAcentral also lists the same sequence under 1 other name. The record is from RNAcentral. Lineage: Bacteria; Pseudomonadati; Pseudomonadota; Gammaproteobacteria; Pseudomonadales; Pseudomonadaceae.
UGUAAUGGCGGAUCGCGUGGGGAGACCCUUGUGGUCUGCCGGCUCCGUUUGCCCGGUUCGUCAACCCCACGCGAUCCUCCACCCUU